Long non-coding RNA from Phacochoerus africanus (Common warthog), 1550 nucleotides. RefSeq lists it as uncharacterized. The transcript has 2 exons. NCBI's taxonomy places the organism in Eukaryota, Metazoa, Chordata, Mammalia, Artiodactyla, Suidae. The record is from RefSeq and is a predicted model, not a curated record.
ACACUGGAUCCUUAACCCACUGAGUGAAGCCAGGGAUAAAACCCGCAUCCUCAUUGGACACCACAUGGGGUUCUUAACCUGCUAAGUCACAGCAGGAACUCCUGGGAGUUGGUAUCUAGGUUUCUGACUUUGUCAUUUUUUGCAGAUCUUUCAAGAGGUGGAAGAAUGAGGCUUUUAGAGUUAGAAUUCAGGGAUUUUAGUCACUUCAUCCUUGGGAUUUUGUAGUCAGAACCUUCCUUCUAUAAAUGGGAAAACUGAACCAUGGGGAUGUGUGUAACUUGCUGAAAGUUAGUUGGCAAUUUCCCAGUGAAGCCACGGUCAUGUCCAGGUGACUUGACAGCCUCAGUUAGUGUCCUUUCUUCCAUCACAUCAUCCACUACAGACUACCAGCUCUACAUUGUUGGGGCUGCAAGCUGUGGUCAAAUUAAAUAAAUGAAAAUACCACGUGGAAGAUCUUUCAUUUUCAAGGUUAUUCUCAGAGGUUUGAUAGAACUUUUGAACAACGGUCAUGCUCAGGUCUCAUUCUACUUGCUAGUGCUCUUGUUUCUUGGGUUAAGGUUUUCUGAAAUGUUUCCUUUCUUUUGAGUGAGAGGAGGUUGCUUUCUGAUUUUAUUUGGUUUUCGGAGUGGUAUUAAUAAUGUCUCUUGACAAAUUUCCAGUGGGACUGGAAAUUUGAUUUGGUAGAACUCUGGGAAAUUAAGUGGAAGGUGGAGGAAGAAAAUUGCAGCUUAACAUGAUCCAGGCUUGGGUCAGGACAUGGUUCAGUGUGAUGGAAGGGGCCAGCAGGGAGCCGAGAGCUCUGGCUUCCUUACUGCUUUGGUUUUCCUGAUGGGGAACUUCAUCUUUCUGGCCCCGUUGCUUGUUUCACCUUCCUUCUUUUUCUCUUUCUUUUCUUCCUUCCCAGCUAACACGUAUUUCUCACACAAGAGGGAUGUAUUUAGUGUCUAUGUAAGAUAGAAAGAAGCAUCAUAAAAUGAACAGUUUACCCACAGAGUAAACUCAGUAAAUACACUCAAUAAAUAAAGUAGUGUUUUGGCUUCAUUUCCCCUUAUGUAAAGUGAUGGGAUUGGACUAACUAGUGUGUGCAGAACCUUACUGCAAUGAUUUCAAAGUUGGGUUCUAUAAAUUUUUGAUCUUUCAAAAGUUGAAACACUUCCUUGAUAUCAAAACAAUGUGGUGAGGCUAUUUACAUAUUUAAGGGCUUUUUAAACUUUUCAGAAAUAUUUCAGACAGUCCUACGUAACCGGAAGUGGAUUGAGAUUAAACCUAAUACAGUUAGGAAGCAGAAGAAAAAAAAAUUAGUUGCAGGAGUUCCCAUCGUGGCGCAGUGGUUAACGAAUCCGACUAGGAACCAUGAGGUUGCGGGUUCGGUCCCUGCCCUUGCUCAGUGGGUUAACGAUCUGGUGUUGCCGUGAGCUGUGGUGUAGGUUGCAGAUGCGGCUCGGAUCCCGCGUUGCUGUGGCUCUGGCGUAGGCCGGUGGCUACAGCUCCGAUUCGACCCCUAGCCUGGGAACCUCCAUAUGCCGUGGGAGCGGCCCAAGAAAUAGCAA